GUUUAUUUAUAUUUAAUACAUAUUUUAAUACACAUUUCCUACAUCCACAUAGUUAUCCUUACGUAUCCAUCUGUCUAUUUAGUCAAAAUCGAAAUGUGCGGACCGUCAAGACGUUCCUCCUUGAUGGUCGCUGUGCUUGCGAUCGUUUGUUCAAUGCUUACUGAAUUUUUUGGGUAUAUGCUCAUCUGUAACUAGAAAUAAUCUUUCAAAUUGAAAUGCAUGUUGUAAAGCCUUUUCGUUUGUCUUACCCCAUAGCGAGGGAUGGUCCAAAGUGGAAUGUAAUCACCUCAAUGGCAUCCUGGGGUGUGAUUUGUGCCGCCGCCGUAGUUCUAUUGCAUGGAGCCCAUUAUGCAAGUACCUAAAUAUCUGCUUAUUUAACUAAAAAAUAUUAAAUUCCAGUCUUAUAUGUAGAAGAAGCCUUUCAUGGUGCUAACAUGGCUUAUUGUGGCUCCAGUUGUUGGAACAGUUUUGGUCGUUACAUCAUUCAUAUCUGCAGAGCAACAGUCGGAGACCAAAGAUGCUGUCGAAGGCACUUUGAUAGCCAUCAUUUUAAUAGGUAAGUCGUCGGCUGGCAAUCUCCUAUGAAUUUUGAUUGAAAAACUUUCUUCUCUUGCAGCCAUGUUUGGAUUUUUUGUUUAUAUUCCCCUCAAAUAUUACCAGACGAUGAUUUAGUUUGUAAUUUUAUUCAAAUUUAUGUGAAUGUAAUAAAUCCUUGUCAGUGUCUGGAAUCCCUACUCCGGAAUGUGCUUGUCGGUGAGUCGCCAGAGUAAAUGCUAUGCGAUCGCCACAUGUGUUUAUUUCUAUGGACUGCUGGACAUUGCGGUGAAGGUCUACUGUCUCGGUAUACACAAUCAAGUAUCAUCCAACGCUAAAGCGACAAUCCAGUAACACCUUUUUCUGUUUUCUGUCUUGCAGCCUAUGAUGGAUUUAAGCAACGUUUAUAAUCGUUGGACUCUCGGCCUGGCUGCCGAUUCUGCUAGCCGCCACUUUGCUCUUUUCGGGCGCCAGUCAGGCAAGUUCAAGGGACACUCUCAACUCCCCACUAGCUCUCGUUUCUCCAUCAGGAGCUGCGUGUACUCAUUCUCACCUCGAUCGUAUUGAAUGUACUUGGUGGCUGCCUGUGGAUCCUGGCGGAGACUUGGGAAGCAGACUCUCUAAUAGAAACAGUGUUGAGAAUCAUUUCUCUUUUACUUUUCCUAAGUAAGUUAAGUUGAAACACUUUAAGGCUCAACACUUCCAAGCGUUCUCUUUCAGUUCUGAUCGGAUUGCUCGUUUAUUUUCCAUGUAGGUUUAUGAAAGAAUUCCAAAGAUAAAUGCAACAGAAAACACACACAAAAUCUUUAGCGCAAUUCAACUGUUUUUUUUUUCUAUUUAUAAUUUGAAAUAAGUCACAAAAGCUCGAGUUGGCCAAAUGGCAAUGGACAAAAUUUGCAUAAAAUAACAAUGGACGACAACAAAUCAAAUGCGAAAAUAGACAGACAGAGACACAGCCACACAAGCUUCGGCCUCGCCCUCUGCGGUGGAGCGCCCUCGGUGUUAGGCCAGACAGCAAAUAGAAAGUGAAAAUCAAAUACCAAAAUGCUACCGUUUAUUUUGUUGUUUUUUUGGCCAUUUUCGUAUUUUCUUACUGGGUUUAUUUGUCGAGUGCCUAAUUUAAAUAAACAUUUAUUUGUACAAUGGCCUUAAUACGUUGGGCAAAUGACUUCCUGAAUUGAACAGAGCGCGGCGCAAAAGCCGGCCAAAUUGCAUAAUCGGUGGGACAAAUGCAGCGGAUUAUGAAAUCCUUCGCUCAAAAGGCUGCCAGGCAGCAGCAGCCACCAGAGACCGAGCCCGAGCACGAGCAGAGUGGAGUCUGGGGCUGGAUACCGACCUGGCAACAACCUGUCGCAUAUUUAAAGCGAUUAACGGCACGAUUCCAGUCGCUGGUUGCCAGCAGCAGCAGCAGCAGCAGCAGCCACGGCAUAGAAAUGGAAAUUGAAAU
RNAcentral lists this long non-coding RNA (1981 nucleotides) under Drosophila guanche. Lineage: Eukaryota; Metazoa; Arthropoda; Insecta; Diptera; Drosophilidae. The record is from RNAcentral.